RNAcentral lists this ribosomal RNA (432 nucleotides) under Triticum aestivum (bread wheat). RNAcentral's name for it is "partial small subunit ribosomal RNA". The record is from RNAcentral. Lineage: Eukaryota; Viridiplantae; Streptophyta; Magnoliopsida; Poales; Poaceae.
AUGGACCAUUCCAUCCCUUAUUCCCGUGGCUAUGCAUCGGAUUAGGAUGACGAAGGUCCCGAUGAAAAAGUUGAUGAGGAGGGGUUCACGGUGAAGGAGGCCGAAGCUUUCGAGAAGGUAUUCGGGCGGGAUCAUCGGACUACAUUGUUCAAGGAUGUUAGUCUCAGGGAUGAAGCCGUGGUAGAUGGUGGCCAAGGUAUAUCUCUUGGAGUUAGGCCAAGAUCUCACCAUGAUUUGGAAUACGGCAAGAACGGGAUUGCUAAAGGGUCUAAGUUCGAAACCUUCUUGGAAUUGAAAAUGUGUCUCGACAACUACUCGGUUACGCAUUAUCGUCCACACAAGGUGGUGAACUCGGACGUCAAUGUGCGGUACAUGGUUGCAUGUGCAUGUGAAGAUGAAAAAUGUCUGUGGACUGUGCGUGCAAGACCAUGA